RNAcentral lists this ribosomal RNA (497 nucleotides) under uncultured bacterium. RNAcentral's name for it is "partial 16S ribosomal RNA". It matches the Rfam family "Bacterial small subunit ribosomal RNA", at positions 28 to 507 of the family's 1533-position model. The record is from RNAcentral.
GAUGAACGCUGGCGGCGUGCCUAAUACAUGCGAGUCGAGCGAACAGACGAGGAGCUUGCUCCUCUGACGUUAGCGGCGGACGGGUGAGUAACACGUGGAUAACCUACCUAUAAGACUGGGAUAACUUCGGGAAACCGGAGCUAAUACCGGAUAAUAUAUUGAACCGCAUGGUUCAAUAGUGAAAGACGGUUUUGCUGUCACUUAUAGAUGGAUCCGCGCCGCAUUAGCUAGUUGGUAAGGUAACGGCUUACCAAGGCAACGAUGCGUAGCCGACCUGAGAGGGUGGUCGGCCACACUGGAACUGCGACACGGUCCAGCCUCCUACGGGAGGCAGCAGUAGUGAAUCUUCCGCAAUGGGCGAAAGCUUGACGGAGCAACGCCGCGUGAGUGAUGAAGGUCUUCGGAUCGUAAAACUCUGUUAUUAGGGAAGAACAAAUGUGUAAGUAACUAUGCACGUCUUGACGGUACCUAAUCAGAAAGCCACGGCUAACUACGUG